Molecule: ribosomal RNA, 524 nt
Filed under: Debaryomyces hansenii
Lineage: Eukaryota; Fungi; Ascomycota; Pichiomycetes; Serinales; Debaryomycetaceae
Description: eukaryotic LSU rRNA
Rfam family: Eukaryotic large subunit ribosomal RNA
Source: RNAcentral
GGCAAAAGCUCACAUUUGAAAUCUGGCACCUUCGGUGUCCCAUUUGUAAUUUGAAGAAGGUAACUUUGGAGUUGGCUCUUGUCUAUGUUCCUUGGAACAGGACGUCACAGAGGGUGAGAAUCCCGUGCGAUGAGAUGCCCAAUUCUAUGUAAAGUGCUUUCGAAGAGUCGAGUUGUUUGGGAAUGCAGCUCUAAGUGGGUGGUAAAUUCCAUCUAAAGCUAAAUAUUGGCGAGAGACCGAUAGCGAACAAGUACAGUGAUGGAAAGAUGAAAAGAACUUUGAAAAGAGAGUGAAAAAGUACGUGAAAUUGUUGAAAGGGAAGGGCUUGAGAUCAGACUUGGUAUUUUGCGAUCCUUUCCUUCUUGGUUGGGUUCCUCGCAGCUUACUGGGCCAGCAUCGGUUUGGAUGGUAGGAUAAUGACUAAGGAAUGUGGCUCUACUUCGGUGGAGUGUUAUAGCCUUGGUUGAUACUGCCUGUCUAGACCGAGGACUGCGUCUUUGACUAGGAUGUUGGCAUAAUGAUCU